Molecule: long non-coding RNA, 1819 nt
Organism: Phycodurus eques (leafy seadragon)
Lineage: Eukaryota; Metazoa; Chordata; Actinopteri; Syngnathiformes; Syngnathidae
Exons: 4
Source: RefSeq, a predicted model, not a curated record
UUAGUUUGCUACUGUUUGAGCAAAUACUUCUUUUUAGGACACGUUGCUUUGUGUCUCUACUUCAACAACAAGCUGUCUGUGCUUUGUUUGAGAUGUUUCAAAUAUUGAUUUUGUCUCUCAAUGAUUCUCAGGAUUAACUAUUAGACAAAAGUAUUUGGUCACGUGAUCGCUGCACCUUCAGAAUGUGAAAACGGAAGUUAGUAUUAUAGAUUCUCUUCUUCGGGGAAGCCUUUCUACAAGAUGUCGAGGUGUCCCUGAUGGCUCAACAUCUCUGUUCUAGUUGAUCCCAAAGGUGUUUGACGGGCUUGAGGCAAAAAGCAGACAAGACCCUGGAGUGGUGUAUAGAGACAGACAAUCAAUCGCACUCACCAUGACUGAGCGGGAACUGAACCCCCCGUUGCCUGCAUGGAAGUCUGGCAAGUGAACCACAACAGUGCAGAUUCAAUGUAUCCUUUCUCUUCAAAUUGUAGUCCCUACAAAGCAAUGGAACUGACCCACUACCUUUAUAUAGGUUUCUUAGAAGUGCUCUACACUGUAAACAUUUAUUUAGGUUUUUUGUUACCUCAACUCAUUUUUCUGAAUCAGUCCAACUAAAAGUACCUAAAUCAUUGGGUCAACUUGAAAUAUUAAGUUCUAAUAUUGUCAUUUCAUCAGUUAAAUCAGAGCAGUCCAGGUAACACAGAUUGCUGGGUUGACUCAAUUAAAAAGGAGUAGCCCCUGCUAAACUCCCCGGGUCACCCCACACAAGCCAACAUGUCAAGACCAGUCAAGACUGCCCCCUGGAAAGGAGGCCAUUUUCUUUUACAAAGAGCAGACAGAGUAUCAGGAGUCGACAUAAAGAGGGUCGUGGGAAACUGGAGCUUAUCCCAGCGGUCUUGGAGCGGAAAACAUGGACUGGUCGCCAGUCAAUCAAAGGUUCCUAAGAGAACAAUGGCCUCCAUCAUCUUUAAAUGAAAGACGUUUAAGAAGACCAGACAUCACUGUGACCGAGCUCCAGAGAUGCAGUCGGGAGAUGGGAGAAAGUUCGAGAAAGUCAACCAUCACUGCAGCCCUCCACCAGUCAGGGCCUUAUGGCAGAGUGGCCCGACGGAAGCCUCUCCUCAGUGCAAGACACAUGAAAGCCUGCAUGGAGUUUGCUAAAAAAAACACCUGAAGGACUCCACGAUGGUGAGAAAUAAGAUUCUCUGAUCUGAUGAGACCAAGAUAGAACUUUUUGGCCUUAAUUUUAAGCGGUAUGUGUGGAGAAAACCAGGCACUGCUCAUCAGUCCCAACAGUGAAGCAUGGUGGUGGCAGCAUCAUGCUGUGGGUGUGUUUUUCAGCUGCUGGGACAGGGAGACGGGUUGCAAUCGAAGGAAAGAUGAAUACGGCCAAGUACAGGGAUAUCCUUGACAAAACCCUUCUCCAGAGUGCUCAGGACCUCAGACUGGGCCGAAGGUCCACCUUCCAACAAGACAAUGACCUUAAGCACACAGCUAAAAUAACAAAGGAGUGGCUUCAGAACAACUCCGUGACUGUUCUUGAAUUGCCCAGCCAGACCCCUGAUUUAAACCCAACUGAGCAUCUCUGAAGAGACCUGAAAAUGGCUGUUCACAAACGUUCACUAUCCAACUUGGCAGAACUGGAGAGAAUCUGCAAGGAGGAAUGGCAGAGGAUCCCCAAAUCCAGGUGUGAAAAACCUGUUGCAUCAUUCCCAAAAAGACUCAUGGCUGUAUUAGCUCAGAAGAGUGCUUCUACUAAAUACUGAGCAAAGGGUCUGAAUUCUUAUGGCAAUGUGAUAUUUGUUUUUCUUUUUUAAUAAAGCUUCAAAGAUUUCAACAA